GACGAACGCUGGCGGCGUGCCUAAUACAUGCAAGUAGAACGCUGAAGGAGGAGCUUGCUCUUCUGGAUGAGUUGCGAACGGGUGAGUAACGCGUAGGUAACCUGCCUGGUAGCGGGGGAUAACUAUUGGAAACGAUAGCUAAUACCGCAUAACAGUAGAUGUUGCAUGACAUUUGCUUAAAAGGUGCAAUUGCACCACUACCAGAUGGACCUGCGUUGUAUUAGCUAGUUGGUGGGGUAACGGCUCACCAAGGCGACGAUACAUAGCCGACCUGAGAGGGUGAUCGGCCACACUGGGACUGAGACACGGCCCAGACUCCUACGGGAGGCAGCAGUAGGGAAUCUUCGGCAAUGGACGGAAGUCUGAACGAGCAACGCCGCGUGAGUGAAGAAGGUUUUCGGAUCGUAAAGCUCUGUUGUAAGAGAAGAACGAGUGUGAGAGUGGAAAGUUCACACUGUGACGGUAUCUUACCAGAAAGGGACGGCUAACUACGUG
Molecule: ribosomal RNA, 495 nt
Filed under: uncultured bacterium
Lineage: Bacteria
Description: partial 16S ribosomal RNA
Rfam family: Bacterial small subunit ribosomal RNA
Source: RNAcentral